GGUUAAGCGACUAAGCGUACACGGUGGAUGCCCUGGCAGUCAGAGGCGAUGAAGGACGUGCUAAUCUGCGAUAAGCGUCGGUAAGGUGAUAUGAACCGUUAUAACCGGCGAUUUCCGAAUGGGGAAACCCAGUGUGAUUCGUCACACUAUCAUUAACUGAAUCCAUAGGUUAAUGAGGCGAACCGGGGGAACUGAAACAUCUAAGUACCCCGAGGAAAAGAAAUCAACCGAGAUUCCCCCAGUAGCGGCGAGCGAACGGGGAGCAGCCCAGAGCCUGAAUCAGUGUGUGUGUUAGUGGAAGCGUCUGGAAAGGCGUGCGAUACAGGGUGACAGCCCCGUACACAAAAAUGCACAUACUGUGAGCUCGAUGAGUAGGGCGGGACACGUGGUAUCCUGUCUGAAUAUGGGGGGACCAUCCUCCAAGGCUAAAUACUCCUGACUGACCGAUAGUGAACCAGUACCGUGAGGGAAAGGCGAAAAGAACCCCGGCGAGGGGAGUGAAAAAGAACCUGAAACCGUGUACGUACAAGCAGUGGGAGCACGCUUAGGCGUGUGACUGCGUACCUUUUGUAUAAUGGGUCAGCGACUUAUAUUCUGUAGCAAGGUUAACCGAAUAGGGGAGCCGAAGGGAAACCGAGUCUUAACUGGGCGUUAAGUUGCAGGGUAUAGACCCGAAACCCGGUGAUCUAGCCAUGGGCAGGUUGAAGGUUGGGUAACACUAACUGGAGGACCGAACCGACUAAUGUUGAAAAAUUAGCGGAUGACUUGUGGCUGGGGGUGAAAGGCCAAUCAAACCGGGAGAUAGCUGGUUCUCCCCGAAAGCUAUUUAGGUAGCGCCUCGUGAAUUCAUCUCCGGGGGUAGAGCACUGUUUCGGCAAGGGGGUCAUCCCGACUUACCAACCCGAUGCAAACUGCGAAUACCGGA
This 925-nucleotide ribosomal RNA is filed under the name Escherichia coli. RNAcentral describes it as "partial 23S ribosomal RNA". It matches the Rfam family "Bacterial large subunit ribosomal RNA", at positions 1 to 967 of the family's 2925-position model. The record is from RNAcentral. Lineage: Bacteria; Pseudomonadati; Pseudomonadota; Gammaproteobacteria; Enterobacterales; Enterobacteriaceae. RNAcentral also lists the same sequence under 1 other name.